GACUCCGACUUCAUGGGGUCGAGUUGCAGACCCCAAUCCGAACUGAGACCGGCUUUUUGGGAUUCGCUCCACCUUACGGUAUCGCAGCCCUCUGUACCGGCCAUUGUAGCAUGCGUGAAGCCCAAGACAUAAGGGGCAUGAUGAUUUGACGUCAUUCCCACCUUCCUCCGAGUUGACCCCGGCAGUCUCCCAUGAGUCCCCGGCAUAACCCGCUGGCAACAUAGGACGAGGGUUGCGCUCGUUGCGGGACUUAACCCAACAUCUCACGACACGAGCUGACGACAACCAUGCACCACCUGUGUACGAGUGUCCAAAGAGAACCCCGUCUCGGGGGCUUUCUCGUACAUGUCAAGCCUUGGUAAGGUUCUUCGCGUUGCAUCGAAUUAAUCCGCAUGCUCCGCCGCUUGUGCGGGCCCCCGUCAAUUCCUUUGAGUUUUAGCCUUGCGGCCGUACUCCCCAGGCGGGGCACUUAAUGCGUUAGCUGCGGCACGGAACUCGUGGAAUGAGCCCCACACCUAGUGCCCAACGUUUACGGCAUGGACUACCAGGGUAUCUAAUCCUGUUCGCUCCCCAUGCUUUCGCUCCUCAGCGUCAGUUGCGGCCCAGAGACCUGCCUUCGCCAUCGGUGUUCCUCCUGAUAUCUGCGCAUUCCACCGCUACACCAGGAAUUCCAGUCUCCCCUACCGCACUCUAGUCUGCCCGUACCCGAUGCAAGCCCGAGGUUGAGCCUCGGGAUUUCACACCAGACGCGACAGACCGCCUACGAGCUCUUUACGCCCAAUAAUUCCGGACAACGCUUGCGCCCUACGUAUUACCGCGGCUGCUGGCACGUAGUUAGCCGGCGCUUCUUCUGCAGGUACCGUCACUUGCGCUUCUUCCCUGCUGAAAGAGGUUUACAACCCGAAGGCCGUCAUCCCUCACGCGGCGUCGCUGCAUCAGGCUUGCGCCCAUUGUGCAAUAUUCCCCACUGCUGCCUCCCGUAGGAGUCUGGGCCGUGUCUCAGUCCCAGUGUGGCCGGUCGCCCUCUCAGGCCGGCUACCCGUCGACGCCUUGGUAGGCCAUCACCCCACCAACAAGCUGAUAGGCCGCGAGCCCAUCCCCCACCGAAAAACUUUCCAACCCACACCAUGCGAUGCGAGCUCAUAUCCGGUAUUAGACCCCGUUUCCAAGGCUUAUCCCGAAGUGGAGGGCAGGUUGCUCACGUGUUACUCACCCGUUCGCCACUGAUCCACCCAGCAAGCUGGGCUUCAC
RNAcentral lists this ribosomal RNA (1251 nucleotides) under uncultured bacterium. RNAcentral describes it as "partial 16S ribosomal RNA". The record is from RNAcentral.